AUGUUGCCAUGGCUGCUCGGGACCUUCUUCUGCCAAGAUUCAGCUCCGUCCUCCACGCCCGACAAAGCCUGCACCGCCGCGCGCCUGCAUCCGCGACGAAGACGACGUCGAUGGCUCCUGCUUCCCCUGCCGUGUGGCCCGCCGGAUCCGCCGUCUGCCCGCUCCUCGUCGGAGUGCCUUGCAAGCGCCUCGACCUCUCCCGGGACGCCGAUCCGCGCCUCCCUCUGUCCCCUGCAUCGCCUCGUCGCCGGAGUAGAAGCUCCGUUCGCCAAGCGCCGCACCCCUGCUUCGUUUCGCUGCGGGAGGAGCUGCGUCGCCCCUCUGCUGCUGCUUCCUUGGACGAGCGCCCUCGCCUGGGCAUGUUGGUCCCUGCCGCUGACCUCUUCUUCCUCUGCAACGAGCAGAGCGCAGCCGCUCGCCCCGUUGACCAUGCCUGCUCAUCCGCGCCCCUGGGCCGCCUCCACCGACAAUCGCCAAGGCCCAGGCGCUUCCUCCCCAGCCAGCCUCCUUCACCAACGGGCCGAAGCCCAUGGUGACUUCUUUGAUGGGAAAGAACCAAACCGUGAAGCUACUGCGGGUGAGUUGAAGAUGUUGCAAUACAAUGCUCAAGCUUGUGAUGUUCUCUUCAACGGAUUGUGCCCCGAAGAAUUCAACAAAAUCAGCCGUCUUGAGAAUGCAAAGGAAAUUUGGGACACUUUGAUUGAUAUGCAUGAAGGUACCGACUCCGUCAAGGAAUGCAAGUUGGAUGUGCUUCAAAGUCAACUUGACAAGUUCAAAAUGAAGGAUGGUGAAGGUGUCGCUGAAAUGUACUCUAGGCUUGCUCUCAUCACAAAUGAGAUUGCCGGCUUAGGAAGUGAAGAGAUGAUCGAUAGAUUCAUCAUCAAGAAGAUUCUAAGAGCCUUGGAUGGAAAAUAUGAUACCGUGUGCACAUUGAUCCAAAUGAUGCCCAAUUACAAAGAUCUCAAGCCAACAGAGGUGAUUGGAAGAAUUGUUGCUCAUGAGAUGUCACUUAAGGAUAAAGAGGAACUUCACAACAAAUAA
RNAcentral lists this ribosomal RNA (1041 nucleotides) under Triticum aestivum (bread wheat). Its description in RNAcentral is "partial small subunit ribosomal RNA". Lineage: Eukaryota; Viridiplantae; Streptophyta; Magnoliopsida; Poales; Poaceae. The record is from RNAcentral.